AACGCAAGUUGCGGUGUCCCUUUGCGGGGCACCAUGCCUCCUUGAGUAUCAUGUACACUAUUACUCGCCGGCGUGCUGGCGGAGAAUGAGUUUUGUCGAACGGUGUUGUGUGUGUUUUCACACAUGCAUUGUUCGUCACUUGAAGUGUCGUGAACCGAUCAUCCCAUGUCGCAGAUUUCUGUCCUUUGGGUUUGACACGAUUGGAUCUUUUCCGAACAGUGUCUUGGACUUCGAAGUGGCAGAAGAGACGUGGGUAGGUGACGUUGAGAACUCUGCUUCGCUCUCGCCCCUCGGGGGGAAAGCAAGCAGGCCAGUCGUCUCGAUUGACCCCCUAAUCCGAUCUCAAGUGAGGUAAGAAGACCCGCUGAAUUUAA
Molecule: unclassified non-coding RNA, 374 nt
Filed under: uncultured fungus
Lineage: Eukaryota; Fungi
Description: partial contains ITS1, 5.8S rRNA and ITS2
Source: RNAcentral